GAGGAGUUGCAGGGAGGGGUUAAGAUUUAUUUUGUUGCCUGUUUGUUUGCGGGGCUUUGGUUGGGUCGGUUUUCCUUUUUUUUUUUUUUUUUUUUUCCUUUUGUGUGUGUUUGUGUGUGUGUGCGGUGAUGGCGGUGCUCCUCAAGGAAAGAAUAACGAACGGCGGGAUGUGCACAACGGGCUGGAACGGAGGGGCUGCGCCGAGCCUGCUCCAACACAGCCCAGACCGAGCCGGCAACGGGAGGCUGGGAAGGGCCGGGUCGGCUCGGCGGAGCUCCGGUGGAGGGGCUGCCGGCGUCACCGUUCCUCUCCAGGAGGGCGGAGAGGCUGCGGGCAGCCGCACGGAGCCCCUCGCUGCGGGACGCGAGCAGCCGAUGGGGCCGGGGCCGGACGGAGGGCAGCUCCGGGUCGGCUGCUGGGCGGCGCGGCGGCCGCUCCUCCUCCUCCUCCCACAGCCGCCAUCCAGCGAGCCGCCGCGGCGGUACCGAGCGGUACGAUUAGCCUGAGAGCUUGGUGUUAAUCAAUCGAAAUCUAACAGGGAACAGGCUGAAGAUCAACAAGGGGCUUUGGCAUCCCAACAUGAGAGCAGGCAACAAGUAGUACAGACUGCUCUCCCCCUCUUCUCUCCCCCCUCCACCUUCAGCCAGUCCUGACAAAAUGCCAGUUAGAAAGGUCAGCCUGUUUAUGUAAAGGUAAGUGUUACUUCACAAAGACUGCUGCACAUCAAAGCCUGCAAUGACUAUUAGAUAGACUUUGGGAUUCAAGGUACUCAGUCAUAGUCCUGUUCAUUUUCUAUAACUGAUAAAAUCACAGAGAAAACAGAAGACAGACACAGCACAAGUGGGAUAGAUCAACAUGCUGGGGUGUGUGGAGGCGGCAGUAUCUUCAUGACAGUGUUUGCUACUGCAAAUGCUAGUAAGAUCUGGUGGAUCCUCAUAUAUUACCUGCACGUAUAUAUGAACACACACACAUAUAUAUAAAGAGAUUUGCUGAUGUGCUAAUGUUUUUCUGCUCCUCUUUCUAGUUUUCACUUCAGCUGUAAUUAUGUCCUAGACUGAAUUAGUUCUGCAGUCAUUUCACACCGAAAGCAGUUUAAAUCAAAGAAGGAGAAUUUGAUUUUGAGUCUUACCAAUUCUAUCCCCUCUAAAAAAGAGAAGAUUGACUUUACUGGACUUUGGCACAGGCCAUUCAUAGUUAAGUUUAGCUUUCAUUUCAUAGCACCUAGAUGCACAGUGGACACAGUCUGAUCAUUUCCGUAUGCAUUAUUUCCCUUCCUGUUAAUCUAGAGCAGUACAGUCAUGUUUCCUUAACUCAUAUCACUUCUUCUGGCCCUUUUCCUGCUUAAAAUGUAAUAAGGAUAUUCUGAUAUUAUUCACUUGUGUAUAUUUGUUAAAUACCUAAAAGCUAAAAGAAUACUAUCUUGGAGUAACAACAUAAAUCUUCCACUGAUGUCCAUUCCAAUACCUAAUUGCCACCACAGUUCUGUUCUAGACCUUGAAAUGGUGCUGAAACAGACUUGAAGUCUUGUGGAGGAAUUUGUUGCUUUUUGUUCAAUGAUAGUAAUAAAAUAUUACAAAAUCCCACCAUAGGUCAGAAUGCUGAAAUUGCAAACAGUAGAACCAUGGCACUAACUGUAUUUGAAUGGGGCAAGAACCAUGAACUGGCAAUGCAAAAUCCAAACUUGGAGCCUAGUUUCACCUAAGGAGCUGCACAUCAUUGCGUGAGAUAGAGAUGCAUUACCUCUGCCAAGUGGCAGUGAAUUAGAGGUCAUCAGAUUCCUUUUUCUUAUAAAUCAACAUUAAGUAGUGGUGUGUCUGUGUAUUGGUAAAUACACAUCUUGAUAGCAUAUCCCAUAACACUUUUUUACUUCAUAUUUUUCACUCUCUUUUUUUCCAGAACUGGUUCCAUGUUUCUUUUUAGCUACUGACAAUGCAUGCAAUUUAUUAAACCAGUUCAGCAGUUACUGUUAAUUUGCAACAGGAAAAAAGUAUUAUGCAAACAAUGCUGUCACCUUCUUACAGUAGCUUCUUCCUCCUAGCUAUAAUGGAUUCUCUGCGUGCUGGUCUCCUGUAAAUUCUCCAUCUAAAAAUUCCAUUUUCUACUUGUUUUGUCAAGAGAAACUCUACUUGACUUUUGAAACAGUUGGGAGGAGAAAAAUGAUAACCCACUGAAGUGCCUUGCCCUUAGCUGAUAUUACGGCAAAGUAAUUAAAGCAAAAAGACUCACACUUUGCACUCCUUAUGAUUGUGGUGGCUUUUGAAUGGGUGAGAUUAUUUUUAGACAUUGAUUUGAAUGUCAAAUUUGCAUAUUCAUCUAGAAAACAUAGCAAAUGCUUAAUUGCCUAUGUCCAAGUGUUUGUAUUUUGCUUUGAAAACAAUGUGUCACAUAUUCCCGGGUUUUAUUUUUUGUUGCUAUUUGAGUGCAUCCACAAAUUGAACUACUUAUCUAAAUAAGUCCUGUGUUUGCUCAGUAUAGAAACAAAUGUGCUGUGUUUAGAAUUUUGCUUCAUAAACAUAUUUUGACCUAUAUGCUUUUACUUAAAUGGAGAUAUGAUUCACUUGAAUGGAAUUACAGCCGGAGACUUUUUCUUUUCUUGCAGAGGAGUUUAUUUUUGGAAUUUACCAGCAUUUCACAUGUAGGGAAUAAAUUUGAACUUUUAUAAUUUAUUUCUGGAGGGGAAAAUGAAUCAGAGAAAUACAGAGAAAUGACUGUGUACUUACUUAGAAUCAUGGAAUAUCCUGAGCUAGAAGGGAUCUGCAAGGAUCACUGAGUUCAACUGCUGUCUUCACACAUUCAGAAUCCACAACAUGCUCAAAUGUCAUAUGGUUGGUGAUAGCCCAGCCCUCUAAUUUAUCAAGAUCCCUCUGGAAGGCCUCUCUACCCUCAAAGGAGUUAGCAGAGUCUUCUUUCUUGCUCUACUUGAAAACUGGGAUGUUUGACAGCUUCCAGUCAGUGGGGAUCUCUCCAGUUUCCCAAUACCAUUGAAAAACAAUUGAGAGAAGUUUUGUGAUGACGUGAGCCUGUUCUUUCAGUUAUAAGUAUCAUUCAGACACCAGUCUUCUGAGAUGUGACCAGUGAUGAAGACCAGUGAUGUUUCUCCACUCCUUUCAGAAGAUAUUAACUGCAAGGCCUUUCCUCUCUUGCAAGAGUUUGGAUGUUGCAGAGCACCAUCGCAAGAAAGCUAGAGGCCUUGCUGGUGGGCAGGAGGUUGAGAAAGGCCAUAGAUGACCCAAACUGAUCAGAGGGAUAUUCCAUAUCAUUUCACAUCAUGCUCAGUGAUGAAGGCAGGGGAGGCAAGUUUUUCCAAAGUAGCCAUUGCUCAGAGAUUGUUUGGACACGUUUGCUCUUGGGAGGUGGAGACAGCGUGAGUGACUGACCAGGUCCUAACUGCCUGCUGGGGCCACCUCCAAAGCCACUUCUGGGACUGGAGAAGUAAGACGCGAUGCCUCGGCAGUUGUUGGACUUUUGAAACAGAGAAAGGUCCUCCCAGUUUUCCUGUUUCACUGAUCUCAGUUUCUGUUAAAUAUGUGUUACCUAUGAUCCUCAGAAAUGUAAGAAGGUACUAAAAUAAAUUAGAAAAUAAAGAUGUAAGCUUAAAAAGUGAGAGUGCAUUCUCAUACUAAUAGUAUUAAUAGCGCUAAGCUGCCUUUGGUGUCAUGUUUCAUUCUCUAGGUAGCCUUCCAUCACUGUCAUGCUUUGUGAGUAAUUUUUCCGUGGUCGGUUUCUGCUUUUUCUGCUUUCAUGAGUGAACACACCCAAAAACGAGUUAUUCACAAAAAAACAUAGAGGUUCUGAUGGA
This is a long non-coding RNA of Lagopus muta (rock ptarmigan), 3799 nucleotides long. RefSeq lists it as uncharacterized. The record is from RefSeq and is a predicted model, not a curated record. The transcript has 9 exons. Lineage: Eukaryota; Metazoa; Chordata; Aves; Galliformes; Phasianidae.